Molecule: unclassified non-coding RNA, 1074 nt
Filed under: Hevea brasiliensis (rubber tree)
Lineage: Eukaryota; Viridiplantae; Streptophyta; Magnoliopsida; Malpighiales; Euphorbiaceae
Source: RNAcentral
AAAGAAGUCAACUUUCUUUCACAAAAUAAUAAUUCAAUUUAGGGUUUCUAUGAAGGGACACAAUCCAAUUGAGGUGGCGAAGACGGUGUUGGAGGUGGCCGAUGUAGCAUGGUCGGCGGUGGAACGCUGUCAUCACCAUACCCACAGUCAUACUGAUACGACGGCGUUUGAUGUAUCUCAUAGUUGUGAAGAAGAUGGAUUGAGAUCUUUGAGGUCUGAAAACAAACGGCUCAAACGGUUGCUUGAACAAAAUCUUAUGCUUCUUCAGAGCAUGUCACAAUCUCCUUCCUUACUUCAAAAUUGUCCACCUGAUCUUCAUGAACGUCUCUUAGCCGCUGUGGAAUCCGGAAGCUUUUUGAAACAGCUGGAAGCACUGAAUCGGAAAUCUGUUGAUGGGAAUGACUGUCAAUUUCCUUUCAAGGAGGCAACUGAUGUUGACACGGAGACAGCAGAACUUCUGGUGAACAUGAGUCUUGAAGAACCAAGUUGGUGGGUUUGGGUGACUGAGGAUAUGGUCCCUGGCAAUCUUGAAGAAAGAAGCGAAAUAGAUAAUGAUAACUAUGUGAUUGUUAGUGAGGAAUAUGUUGUAGAUGCAGUUGCCAACUUUAUGGCUAGAUGCGUAGUAUCCAAUUCGAAGGCUCAGAAGAUGUCUCCUGAAGAACUGCAAAAGACCCUGGCAAAAGCAUUCGAAGGCAUUGGUAAAGUAGAAACAUUGUUCAACAUUUGGCAUGCCGCGCAAAUGUUCUACGUCCUUUCCACUUGGGGACUUGCAGUAGUGGGGUUGUACAAGAGCCGAUCUGUUAUUAGACUUGCUGCUAAAGGGGUUCACAAGACAGGCAAAAUGGUUCUGAAGGUUCUUUGAAGAUGCCUCUGCUGUGUUGGUUAUGAAUUAAGCAUCGUGUAAAUGCUUUUACUUAUUGUACAGUCUAGUAUAUCAGAAUAACAUUAUGCUUGACUUCCAAUUCGUCUGUCUGAGAAUAUUGUAAAUAGUAUGCAAUUUGAAAAGUGCCUCUGUUGAGAUUGCAUUCGCGUCACAGUGUAGGCCUUUUAUGGUUCUUAUUUCUUAAACUCAGU